GAUGAACGCUGGCGGCGUGCCUAAUACAUGCAAGUCGAGCGAACAGACGAGGAGCUUGCUCCUCUGACGUUUGCGGCGCACGGGUGAGUAACACGUGGAUAACCUCCCUAUAAGACUGGGAUCAUUUCGGGAAACCGGAGAUUAUACGGGAUAAUAUAUUGAACCGUGUGGGUCAAUAGUGAAAUACGGCUUUGCUGUCACUUCUAGCUGGUUCUGCGCCGCAUUAGCUAGUUGGUAAGGUAACGGGUUAUCAAGGCAACCAUGCGUAGCCGACCUGAUAGGGUGAUCGGCCGCACUGGAGCUGGAACGCGGACCAUGCUACUACGGUAGGCAGCAGUAGGGAAUCUGCCGCAGUGGUCGAAAGCCUGACAGAACAACCCCGCGUGUGUUGUGAAGAUCUUCCGAUCGUAAAGCCCUGUUAUUAGUGAUGAACAAAUGUGUAAGUAACUAUACCCGUCUUGACGGUACCUGGUCAGAAAGCCACGGCUAACUACGUG
This 497-nucleotide ribosomal RNA is filed under the name uncultured bacterium. RNAcentral describes it as "partial 16S ribosomal RNA". It matches the Rfam family "Bacterial small subunit ribosomal RNA", at positions 28 to 507 of the family's 1533-position model. The record is from RNAcentral.